UAAGGGGUUUGUGGUAUAUGGCCAAUAUACCACGGCUAAGGGCUGUUCUUAGGCAGAACGCAACACAGAGUGCCUGGAGGUGCCUUAUUGCUAUUAUAAACUGGUUACCAACAUAAUUAGAGAAGUAAAAAUAAUUGUUUUGACAUACCCGUGGUAUACGGUCUGAUAUAUCACAGCAUCAGCCAAUCAGCAUUUAGGGCUCGAACCACCCAGUUUCUAAAUAUAUAUAUAUACGCCUGUAGAUAACAACAACGUUACUGUCAUUAAGUUUAUUCAGAAAGGGAAUGUGUCUGUGGAAUAAAUGACGUGGCUCGUAGACGUUUAUAUAAUGUUUCUGUCAUAUAUUUUAUCUCCUAAAGAUGAGUUUCAACCUGGCUUCAUCACGUUCAGAGCCAUAAAUACCGAACGAGCAGCCACGGCCAUCUGCUCUGGGGUCAAACCAAUCGGCUGCAACGCUGAACAUUACUGUAUAGGUGGUGGUGGACACUUCCCUGAGGCUGCUCCCAUACAGUGUGGUGACUUCACUGGCUUUGACGGGAACGGUUACGGGACCAACAUAGGCUGGAGUGCGUCCAGGGAGAUCACCGAAGCUGCUGUGCUGCUCUUCUACCGUUAAAUUCCAUCCUAAAACCGUUUACUAUGUUCUAUACACUGUAAGGAAUACAACUAUAUUGUCCAAAAGAAACUAACCAUUCUAUGGUAUUGAAUAGAAAACUAACCAUUCUAUGGUAUUGAAUAGAAAACUAACCAUUCCAUGGUGUUGAAUAGAAAACUAACCAUUCUCUGGUAUUGAAUAGAAAACUAACCAUUCCAUGGUAUUGAAUAGAAAACUAACCAUUCCAUGGUAUUGAAUAGAAAACUAACCAUUCCAUGGUAUUGAAUAGAAAACUAACCAUUCUAUGGUAUUGAAUAGAAAACUAACCAUUCCAUGGUAUUGAAUAGAAAACUAACCAUUCCAUGGUAUUGAAUAGAAAACUAACCAUUCUAUGGUAUUGAAUAGAAAACUAACCAUUCCAUGGUAUUGAAUAGAAAACUAACCAUUCCAUGGUAUUGAAUAGAAAACUAACCAUUCCAUGGUAUUGAAUAGAAAACUAACCAUUCCAUGGUAUUGAAUAGAAAACUAACCAUUCUAUGGUAUUGAAUAGAAAACUAACCAUUCCAUGGUAUUGAAUAGAAAACUAACCAUUCCAUGGUAUUGAAUAGAAAACGAACCAUUCCAUGGUAUUGAAUAGAAAACUAACCAUUCCAUGGUAUUGAAUAGAAAACUAACCAUUCCAUGGUAUUGAAUAGAAAACUAACCAUUCCAUGGUAUUGAAUAGAAAACUAACCAUUCCAUGGUAUUGAAUAGAAAACUAACCAUUCUAUGGUAUUGAAUAGAAAACUAACCAUUCCAUGGUAUUGAAUAGAAAACUAACCAUUCCAUGGUAUUGAAUAGAAAACUAACCAUUCCAUGGUAUUGAAUAGAAAACUAACCAUUCCAUGGUAUUGAAUAGAAAACUAACCAUUCCAUGGUAUUGAAUAGGAAACUAACCAUUCUAUGGUAUUGAAUAGAAAACUAACCAUUCCAUGGUAUUGAAUAGAAAACUAACCAUUCCAUGGUAUUGAAUAGAAAACUAACCAUUCCAUGGUAUUGAAUAGAAAACUAACCAUUCCAUGGUAUUGAAUAGAAAACUAACCAUUCCAUGGUAUUGAAUAGGAAACUAACCAUUCCAUGGUAUUGAAUAGAAAACUAACCAUUCCAUGGUAUUGAAUAGAAAACUAACCAUUCCAUGGUAUUGAAUAGAAAACUAACCAUUCCAUGGUAUUGAAUAGAAAACUAACCAUUCCAUGGUAUUGAAUAGAAAACUAACCAUUCCAUGGUAUUGAAUAGAAAACUAACCAUUCUAUGGUAUUGAAUAGAAAACUAACCAUUCCAUGGUAUUGAAUAGAAAACUAACCAUUCCAUGGUAUUGAAUAGAAA
This is a non-coding RNA of Salmo salar (Atlantic salmon), 1960 nucleotides long. The record is from RefSeq and is a predicted model, not a curated record. Lineage: Eukaryota; Metazoa; Chordata; Actinopteri; Salmoniformes; Salmonidae.